GAUGCCUGCCCGGUGACUUCGUNNNAAACGGCCGCGGUAUCCUAACCGUGCAAAGGUAGCGCAAUCAAUUGUCCCGUAAAUCGGGACUAGUAUGAAUGGCUAAACGAGGUCUUAACUGUCUCUUGCAGGCAAUCGGUGAAAUUGAUCUCCCUGUACAAAAGCAGGGAUAACUACAUAAGACGAGAAGACCCUGUGGAACUUCAAAAUCAGCAACCACCCCAAAAUACAUACACACCCACCCCGGGUUCACUUAUCCAACGGGAGAUUGGUUAGCAUUUUUUCGGUUGGGGCGACCUUGGAGCAAAACAAAACCUCCAAACNUUGGACCAUCCCUCCAGACUAAGAGCGACAUCUCGACGUGCCAANAGCAACCAGACCCAAUAACAUUGAUCAAUGGACCAAGCUACCCCAGGGAUAACAGCGCAAUCUCCUUCGAGAGUCCAUAUCGACGGGGAGGUUUACGACCUCGAUGUUGGAUCAGGACAUCUAGUGGUGCAGCCGCUACUAAG
This 509-nucleotide ribosomal RNA is filed under the name Alophoixus bres (scrub bulbul). RNAcentral describes it as "partial 16S ribosomal RNA". It matches the Rfam family "Bacterial large subunit ribosomal RNA", at positions 1854 to 2569 of the family's 2925-position model. Lineage: Eukaryota; Metazoa; Chordata; Aves; Passeriformes; Pycnonotidae. The record is from RNAcentral.